This 136-nucleotide unclassified non-coding RNA is filed under the name uncultured fungus. Its description in RNAcentral is "sequence contains ITS1, 5.8S rRNA gene". Lineage: Eukaryota; Fungi. The record is from RNAcentral.
CACAAUACAAUAUAAAACCUUACAUCUUUAUGAAACUGUUUAUUGUCUUUUAUAGAUUUUAACCAAUCAAUCAAUUAUCAAAACAUACUUAGAAUAUAAUACACCUAGUGUAUUUAUCAAAUUUAAAACUUAGAUA